Schizosaccharomyces pombe (fission yeast) is the source of this 986-nucleotide non-coding RNA. The record is from the annotation of a GenBank genome assembly. NCBI's taxonomy places the organism in Eukaryota, Fungi, Ascomycota, Schizosaccharomycetes, Schizosaccharomycetales, Schizosaccharomycetaceae.
AAAUACUAGUUAAAAUGUAAAUUAAGUAACUCCUUACCUGAAGCCCUUAAAUAUCUGACCAUUUCGGAUCGUUCAUCCAAAUCACUUAUGUUUUCUGUUUCUAAGGAAUCGUUAACUUUUUAAAUAAUUAAAAUAAACUAAAGUAUAUGAAAAGCACAUAGCUAACCUGAACUCAAAAUCGUUGAUCAAUUGUAAAUUUUGUAAAUUCAAAUAGACUUGCGCGUACCCUUGAAGGUAUUGGAGUUAAUAGUUGAUAUUCAUACCUGGUUUAUCCCAUUCAUCAGAAUCAACCUCUUCAUCCUCAGUUUCUUUACUGCCGCACAUAAUAUCUACUAGUAAACUAGCACCGGAACUACUACCAGAAGAGCUAGGAGAAUAACUAGCGACUGGAAUUUUUUCCUCAACGGGAGUCGUCGGCAUAUUAUUAUCUAGCGGAUUGGAAGCCAUGACAGAGUUUGUAUAACAUGAAAAUAUGACUAAUCAAUUAUUUUUAAGGAAGUAUAAAUUAAAGCUUCGUUUGAGAAAGGCAAUGAUCUACUGAACUGAAGAUCUCUGGUUCAACUUUUCGAUAAGUCUUAUUACAAUUACGAAAAGCUAGUCUCUUGUUUAGUGCAGUAAAGUUUCGUUAGCUUAAUGGUAUGCGGGCAACUGUGAUCUCGUUAUUUCCUGGUAAUAAUGGCUAUUAGAAGCAAAGCACUGUAUAAGUUUAACUAUACAACUUGUUAAUUUAAACGUUGCUUUGAACCAUGAGAACUGGAAUGCGUAUUAGUAUGCAAUGCGCAAGUGUAGAAAGUAAUGAAAUGAUAUGAUAGUGAUUUACCAAAUGUUAAAGUUAAUCAUGUAAAUUCAAUUUAAAAUCUACUAAAAGUAUGAGAGCUAAUUCUGCUUUGAUUUUAUAAGGAAUUACGAGCACUUUCUUACAAGCUCGACUUUCUUGAAUGGACUGCAUUAAUUAAUACCUACUAAAAUAAAUGGAGGUUUUUCGU